RNAcentral lists this ribosomal RNA (716 nucleotides) under Tritoxa flexa (black onion fly). Its description in RNAcentral is "partial 12S ribosomal RNA". The record is from RNAcentral. Lineage: Eukaryota; Metazoa; Arthropoda; Insecta; Diptera; Ulidiidae.
AUGUAAAUUUUUGUGUGAAUUAUUAUUUAUUUUAAUAAUAGAUAAGUUCUAUUUCAGCCGCAGUAAUUAGUAUUAUUAAUUAAGGAAACUUAGAGAUAGUAAUUUUGGAUAGCAUUGGCUAAAUUUGUGCCAGCAGCCGCGGUUACACUCAUAAUGCGAAUAAAUUUUGUUCGGUAUAAGUUAAUUAAUUUUAUGGAAUAAAAAUAAAUUUAUUAGGUGAAAUUUUAAAUUUGUUAAUUUCUUUUUAAGUAGGUGUUGAAGCUUGUAAAUUUUAAUUUAAAACUAGGAUUAGAUACCCUAUUAUUUAAAAUGUAAGUUAUUACCAAGGUAGUAUUAGUUAUGUUCUUGAAACUUAAAAAAUUUGGCGGUAUUUUAGUCUGUUCAGAGGAACCUGUUCUAUAAUCGAUAAUCCACGAUGGACCUUACUUAAGCUUGUUUAUCAGUUUAUAUACCGUCGUUAUUAGAAUAUUUUAUUAGAAUAAUAAUUUUCAAUAUUUUUUAUAAAAAUUUAUAUCGGAUCAAGGUGUAGCUAAUGUUUAAGAAGAAAUGGGUUACAAUAAAAUUAUUUAUACGGAGUAAUAUUUGAAAUGUAUUAUGAAGGUGGAUUUGAUAGUAAAAUUAAAUAGAUAAUUAGUUUGAUUUUAGCUCUAAAAUAUGCACACAUCGCCCGUCGCUCUUAUUAUUAAGGUAAGAUAAGUCGUAACAUAGUAGAUGUA